Molecule: long non-coding RNA, 227 nt
Filed under: Elaeis guineensis (African oil palm)
Lineage: Eukaryota; Viridiplantae; Streptophyta; Magnoliopsida; Arecales; Arecaceae
Description: long non-coding RNA (EGUI_LNC005657)
Source: RNAcentral
GCGGUGGUGUAAUCCAUUCUUGAGAAGGACGAUCGACAGUGGAUUUAUAAAGAUGACUGCAGCACUACGUCAAAUUGGGAAGGACCCUGAUCUAUCCCGUUUGGAUCAUCGUUGGAGGGCUUCUACUUUGGAACCUUGUGAAGAUCAUUCUAUUAUCAGAUCCUCGCCUUCAUGUUUGGUAUAUGACUUCUAAUCUCUCAUUAAUAUGCAUGCUGUAAUUGUUUGAU